Molecule: ribosomal RNA, 864 nt
Filed under: Amanita ochracea
Lineage: Eukaryota; Fungi; Basidiomycota; Agaricomycetes; Agaricales; Amanitaceae
Description: eukaryotic LSU rRNA
Rfam family: Eukaryotic large subunit ribosomal RNA
Source: RNAcentral
GAUUCCCCUAGUAACUGCGAGUGAAGCGGGAAAAGCUCAAAUUUAAAAUCUGGCAGUGGUUCACUGCCCGAGUUGUAAUCUAGAGAAGUGUUGCUCACACUGGACCAUGUAUAAGUCUUCUGGAAUGAAGCGUCAUAGAGGGUGAGAAUCCCGUCUUUGACAUGGACUCCCAGUGUAUUUGUAGCAUGCUCUCAAAGAGUCGAGUUGUUUGGGAAUGCAGCUCUAAAUGGGUGGUAACCUCCAUCUAAAGCUAAAUAUUGGCGAGAGACCGAUAGUGAACAAGUACCGUGAGGGAAAGAUGAAAAGAACUUUGGAAAGAGAGUUAAAAAGUACGUGAAAUUGUUGAAAGGGAAACGCUUGAAGUCAGUCACAUUGGCCAGGGAUCAACUUGCUUAAGUGUACUUCCUGGCUGAUGGGCCAACAUCAGCUUUGACUGUCAGAGAAGGGUAGGGGGAAUGUGGCACCCUUCUUGGGUGUGUUAUAGCCCUCUGUCAUAUAUGGCCGUUGGGGCUGAGGAAUGCAGCGCGCCACAAGGCCGGGCUUCGACCACGUUCGCGCUUAGGAUGUUGGCAUAAUGGCUUUAAUCGACCCGUCUUGAAACACGGACCAAGGAGUCUAACAUGCCUGCGAGUGUUUGGGUGGAAAACCCGAGUGCAUAAUGAAAGUGAAAGUUGAGAUCCCUGUCAUGGGGUGCAUCGACGCCCGGACCUGAGCUUUCUAGCAAUGGCUCUGCGGUAUAGCAUGUAUGUUGGGACCCGAAAGAUGGUGAACUAUGCCUGAAUAGGGCGAAGCCAGAGGAAACUCUGGUGGAGGCUCGUAGCGAUUCUGACGUGCAAAUCGAUCGUCGAAUUUGGGUAUAGGGGC